GGCGAACGGGUGAGGAACACGUGAAGAAUCUGCCCUCCACUUUGGGAUAACACCGGGAAACCGGUGCUAAUACCGAAUAUUGAAACAUAAGUGGCAUCACUGAGUUUUGAAAGAAUUUCGGUGGAGGAUGACUUCGCGGCCUAUCAGCUAGUUGGUGAGGUAAUGGCUCAUCAAGGCAACGACGGGUAGCCGGCCUGAGAGGGCGACCGGCCACACUGGGACUGAGACACGGCCCAGACUCCUACGGGAGGCAGCAGUGGGGAAUAUUGGGCAAUGGAGGAAACUCUGACCCAGCGACGCCGCGUGCGGGAUGAAGGCCUUCGGGUUGUAAACCGCUUACAGUAGGGAAGAAGCGAAAGUGACGGUACCUACAAAAGAAGCACCGGCUAACUAUGUGCCAGCAGCCGCGGUAAUACAUAGGGUGCAAGCGUUGUCCGGAAUUAUUGGGCGUAAAGAGCUCGUAGGUCGUUUGUUACGUCGGAUGUGAAAACCUGAGGCUCAACCUCAGGCCUGCAUUCGAUACGGGCAAACUAGAGUUUGGUAGGGGAGACUGGAAUUCCUGGUGUAGCGGUGGAAUGCGCAGAUAUCAGGAGGAACACCAAUGGCGAAGGCAGGUCUCUGGGCCAAUACUGACACUGAGGAGCGAAAGUCUGGGGAGCGAACAGGAUU
RNAcentral lists this ribosomal RNA (669 nucleotides) under uncultured Actinomycetales bacterium. RNAcentral describes it as "bacterial SSU rRNA". It matches the Rfam family "Bacterial small subunit ribosomal RNA", at positions 97 to 779 of the family's 1533-position model. Lineage: Bacteria; Bacillati; Actinomycetota; Actinomycetes; Actinomycetales. The record is from RNAcentral.